UUGGGAUUUUUUGAUCUUCGGUCUAAACGGGUUGAACCCGUAUAAUCUGUUUAUACACGAUUAAACCUGUUUAUUUAGACGUGUUUAAUCGUGUUAUGUAAUCGUGCAACCCAUUAACUCGUUCAUCUAACUGAAUUUACUAAACUAUCCUUACAUUAACCCUAAUUUCAAAAUUACCUCCUUCAAUCCAGACUCCAAUUUCAUUGAUCUGUUCCAGUAGGAGUCCUGUUUCGCCUUUCAUCCCGAUUCACAGACCUGAUUUCUUUCCUGCAAGCACGGUUCCACCCGAUUUCCUUCGAAAUCGAAGACAGACCUGAUUUCUUGAAUUCUUCCAGAUCCAGCCUCCACUUGAGUCGAAGACAACUUCGACCGUCCGCUCAGACGACAGCACCCAGACAACGAAGGCGACCUUCCGCUGUUCGGUCGACAGCACCCAGAAGAAGGCGACCUUCUGCCGUGCGGUCGACAGCACCCAGGGUCCCAGACGAAGGUGACCUCACCGCGCCUCCUCAAUCUCGGGUCGACCCCGCGACCUCCCUCUCUGAAGCAGGUCUUGUGCUUAAGAUUCCACUUCGAGAGGGCCUUGAAAGUUUGAAGUUCAUCUUUCCCCGUCAAGGUAUCAUCUUUCUUGGUUUUCCUUGAUCUUGAUGUGAAGUCUCGGUUGUUCGGUUGCCUAUUAACUGCUCGAAAACUCUAGAAAACAAUGAAUCCAAUUGAUGAUGCAAAAUGCUCCGGAUUCCCUCACUCAAAAGACCGGAAGAAGGUAGGUCGGCUCGAUCUAGCUAUCCUGUUUCGGAUUGGACGGGGAUGAAGCUAGUCUUCUCUCUGGCAUGGAAUUCUCGCUCAGCUAGUAGCUCACCUUCCGGGGACAGAUGGGCUGGGUCAGUAGCUGUGACAAUAGGAGUUUCAGUCUUAGGCUUUUCUGCGUACCCAGACAAAAGGAAAGGGUAAUGGUUAGCUAGCUGACGAUCGAUCCAAAAAGCCGGAGCCUAGCUAUCCGAUUACUGAGUGUUAGCACUUAGCAGGGAAAACUUGUGAUGUUUCUAGAGUUUGGGGGAGCUCAUUUAAUGACCAUGGCCAUGGUAAUGGCAAAAGCUUUUUGUUCUCUCCUCCUCUGUGUGCCGUGCUGUGAUGUGCUUUGUGAUUUCUGAAUUUUUCGGAAUUAGCUCAGUUUUCAGCUAUUACUUGAACACUAGAAGGGUUGGAUUAUGUUAUCAAAGUUUCUUAUUAGAUAUUCUUUGCUGCAAUCUGUAUCUGAUGGGUGAAACUUAGGUGUAGGGAUUUACAUUUCAUUUUACUCGAUAAAAAGCUCUUUGCUGAGUUUGCUCGACGGGGAAAGUAGUAUGGGUGAAACUGUAACUGUAAGUAGUACCUGUAUACGUAGACUUUUUGUAUAAUUUGGAUGAUUGUUUGAAAUUUUGUUGAGCUGCGGUGCAAUGCAUGGAGGAAACACAAAUAUAGUGCGCCUAUCUUAGUCAACUAAUCUGUAAAUAUUCUGUGUUUUAGCUAUAAUGUCCUCGAGUCAGUUCAAGUCUGGCGUUUUGUAGCUUGUUUUAACGAGGUUCUGAUAAAUUAAUUAUUGCCCAAUCAUUGUUCUUGUCGGGUUAGUUAACUAAUUAUAAGUGACCCUUCUUUGUGAAUGCAACAAUUUUCAGUUGCUUUUCACCCGAAGAUAGUGACCUUUUGUGGAAUUUUUGGUGCAUCUUUCAACAUCAAAGUUUCUUAUUCCUUUGCUAAGGCAGCUUUACCGGAGCAGGUUCUGCAGAUUAUUGAUCUUGUCUUGCUUGGGGAGAGCAAGAACGGGGACGACAGUCAAGGCAUCAGGAGAAGCCGAAGGAGCCACAAGAGGCUCCUUAAGAUUCAAGAGUGUUUGGUAUCAAUCGUGGAAAUAGGAGUGGUUCGCUCUUCUGAAAUUCCGAGAGACAGAAUGAGUGUGGGCGAUGUUGCAGCUGCUCUGCAAGCAAUUCGGAAUAAGCUUCUUGGAAGCUGAGGAAAUUGAAGACUGUCAAAAUGGGAGAACGAUUCAUGGCAUUCGAAGUAUUGUGUAGAUGACAUCUAAAGAAGUGCACCUUAGUGAUGUCCUGGUUCUGCAGAAAUGAGAGCGAACUUGAUUCUCAUACUUUCUCCUAUGAAAGAUUCGUGCCCAAAUUGUGAUUUUUUUUCUUCUCAUUUCUUUUUGGAAAACUUUAAGCAGAUUGUGUUAACGUGUCCGAGUAAUCGGAUUAAACGGAUAAACGGGUCGUGUUAAUGUGUUCGAGUAACUAGAGCGGGUAAACGGUCGUGUAAAUGUGUUCGGAUAAAUGGGUUGAUAGGAUAAACGGGUUGUGUUAACGUGUCCGGGUAAACAGGUUGAUCGAAUGAACAAGUCAUGUUAACGUGUCCGGGUACCGUGUAUAAUCGUGUCGUGUAUACAUGUAUUUAUUAUGAUACGUUUCGAUAAAUAUGUUUAAACGUGUCGUGUACGGGUUGACAUAAAUAUAAAUGUGUCGUGUUCGUAUUUUUAAAAUCUGAUCCGUUUAAUAAUUGUAUAGUGUAUGACUUAUGAUUUUUAUGACACGAACUUCUUUACACACAAUACAUAUAAAUACGACACGACACGAAUUGUGGAUAAAAGCAUAGAAGUGAUGAUAUGUAAAUUCGUUAGCAAGUUUGAAAGAACUUACUUAAAAUUAGAACUCGGGCCAAUCGUCAACGACAAUUCAACAGCUGCCAUCGCCUCCAAUUCAACAGGUUUCCUCACCGCCACUGUCUCCGCCGAAAGAAGAAAUUGAGCAAAAUUAUCCAACUCGACAAUCGAGGGGUGAUGCGGGCCCGCCUACUCAGCCGUCUCAAACGCAAGCGGCACCACGUAGUUGAGAUUUUGUUCAAGAAGCGUCGCCUAGGUCGCUUCCAGUACAAGAAGGCAAUCAGCAAAACCCCAUCCUACAAGCACUCAAGUUAAUUCGGAGGAUUUUGUGGACGCCAAUUUCGAGGUUGAUUUGGCUAAAUCAAUUGUUGGUAAGCCAACACUGUAAAAUCGGCGACUGAACCUUAUGAGAUUGGUGGAAGAAGAGGAAAUUGAAUGCGUUGUGUAUUUGGUGGAGGCAGUAAAGAUUUGCAGGAAUGUAACGGUGGAACUGUCCUGAGACUGGAUGGAUGGUGCGGCAGGAGGUAUUAUUCGAGAUGGUCAAGGGAGAUGGAGGUGAGAUUCUGCACAGAAUGUCGGGAUUGUCACUUAUGUGACGAUGGAGUCGUGGCCGGCGAAAACCGGCCUUGAUUUGGCGUGGGAAUUGGCAGUAUGUAGAUUAAUACUUGAAGUGGACUCGGAGAUUGUAGCUUGCUGGCUCAUACUGCAACGUGGUACAGGGGCCUGGAGUGAUGUGAUUUUAAGGGAGAUUCGAAGGGUGAUGCAGAGGGAUUGGACGGUACUAGUAAAUCAUACCUACCUAGUGGGAAGGUAACAUGUCUACGGAUUAACUUGCAGAUCAUAUGCCCUCACACUACCUGUAGUGGUACAUAAGUUUAGUUUUUGUCCUUCUGUACUCUAUUUACUAUUUUUCGGAGAUGAUGGAGGAAUCGUUAUACUACGGUC
This is a non-coding RNA of Punica granatum (pomegranate), 3571 nucleotides long. The record is from RefSeq and is a predicted model, not a curated record. NCBI's taxonomy places the organism in Eukaryota, Viridiplantae, Streptophyta, Magnoliopsida, Myrtales, Lythraceae.